The sequence is a small RNA, 67 nucleotides long. It matches the Rfam family "Bacillaceae-1 RNA". The record is from Rfam.
AAUAGCAGAUCAAAGACUAAGAACGCCGCGUCCUGCGGCAACGUCUUUGUGACCCCCGUCCUGGGGG